Aedes aegypti (yellow fever mosquito) is the source of this 47-nucleotide non-coding RNA. Lineage: Eukaryota; Metazoa; Arthropoda; Insecta; Diptera; Culicidae. The record is from Rfam.
AAAACGGCUCUUUUUAGUGCCACAAAGAAUUUGCUUAUUAGUUGUUU